Molecule: ribosomal RNA, 434 nt
Filed under: uncultured Lachnospiraceae bacterium
Lineage: Bacteria; Bacillati; Bacillota; Clostridia; Lachnospirales; Lachnospiraceae
Description: bacterial SSU rRNA
Rfam family: Bacterial small subunit ribosomal RNA
Source: RNAcentral
ACGGGAGGCAGCAGUGGGGAAUAUUGCACAAUGGGGGAAACCCUGAUGCAGCGACGCCGCGUGAGCGAAGAAGUAUUUCGGUAUGUAAAGCUCUAUCAGCAGGGAAGAAAAUGACGGUACCUGACUAAGAAGCACCGGCUAAAUACGUGCCAGCAGCCGCGGUAAUACGUAUGGUGCAAGCGUUAUCCGGAUUUACUGGGUGUAAAGGGUGCGUAGGUGGUAUGGCAAGUCAGAUGUGAAAACUUUGGGCUCAACCCAAAGCCUGCAUUUGAAACUACCAAACUAGAGUGCAGGAGAGGAAAGUGGAAUUCCUAGUGUAGCGGUGAAAUGCGUAGAUAUUAGGAGGAACACCAGUGGCGAAGGCGGCUUUCUGGACUGUUACUGACACUGAGGCACGAAAGCGUGGGGAGCAAACAGGAUUAGAUACCCUGGUA